This 271-nucleotide long non-coding RNA is filed under the name Actinidia chinensis (golden kiwifruit). RNAcentral's name for it is "long non-coding RNA (ACHI_LNC002077)". Lineage: Eukaryota; Viridiplantae; Streptophyta; Magnoliopsida; Ericales; Actinidiaceae. The record is from RNAcentral.
UGACCACCCCAUAAAUUUUUAUCAUCAAACCGACUCACUUGUUCACAUUCCACGUUUUUUAGAUCUCGUCGCCCAAUUUAUUUCUUUACCAGACCUAUACAUUAUUUUACCCAACAUCUACUGACUUAAAAAUUCAUAAGAGAGAGCCGCCUAAAUCCUAACUCAUCCAGACGUGACUGGAUGCUGUGUCACAAUGACUUUUCUCUCGAUCCAAACAAAACAGAGAGAAAACUAAAAUAUACUCCGCUCUAUCUAUCUAUCUCUGAUCGGA